RNAcentral lists this ribosomal RNA (253 nucleotides) under uncultured bacterium. RNAcentral describes it as "partial 16S ribosomal RNA". It matches the Rfam family "Bacterial small subunit ribosomal RNA", at positions 524 to 776 of the family's 1533-position model. The record is from RNAcentral.
UACGUAGGGUGCAAGCGUUAAUCGGAGUUACUGGGCGUAAAGCGUGCGCAGGCGGUUGUGUAAGUUUGUCGUGAAAUCCCCGGGCUCAACCUGGGAAUUGCGAUGAAGACUGCACGGCUAGAGUGUGUCAGAGGGGGGUAGAAUUCCAAGUGUAGCAGUGAAAUGCGUAGAUAUGUGGAGGAACACCGAUGGCGAAGGCAGCCCCCUGGGAUAACACUGACGCUCAUGCACGAAAGCGUGGGGAGCAAACAGG